UACGUAGGGUGCGAGCGUUGUUCGGAAUCACUGGGCGUAAAGGGCGCGUAGGCGGGUUUGCAAGUCGAUUGUGAAAUCCCAAGGCUUAACCUUGGAGCUGCAGUCGAAACUGCAAGUCUUGAAUGUCUGAGAGGGUGGGAGAAUUCCUGGUGUAGUAGUGAAAUACGUAGAUAUCAGGAGGAAUACCGGCGGCGAAGGCGCCUACCUGGCAGUACAUUGACGCUGAGGCGCGAAAGCGUGGGUAGCAAACAGG
RNAcentral lists this ribosomal RNA (253 nucleotides) under uncultured bacterium. Its description in RNAcentral is "partial 16S ribosomal RNA". It matches the Rfam family "Bacterial small subunit ribosomal RNA", at positions 524 to 776 of the family's 1533-position model. The record is from RNAcentral.